This is a long non-coding RNA of Daphnia magna, 1500 nucleotides long. RefSeq lists it as uncharacterized. The transcript has 5 exons. The record is from RefSeq and is a predicted model, not a curated record. NCBI's taxonomy places the organism in Eukaryota, Metazoa, Arthropoda, Branchiopoda, Diplostraca, Daphniidae.
UUAAUAGUUAAAAAAAAAAAUGGAAAUUGGUAAAAUGAAAUAACAUAUGACCUAUACCUUUAGAUCACUUGUUUUCACAAAUGGAGAUUUAUUCCACAAGCUUCCUAGGCAGACACCCACCCACACAACCAUGGGUGAUAAAUGAUAUAAAAGUUUAUUAAUUUAAAAAAUUUAGAUUUUAGGUUAUUGAUAACAGAGUCAGGAAACAAUGUGUGGAAUCUGAUAUUCUAGCCUUGGAAACCACAGAUGCCUUUCUGCUUUAACAAGGCUAUAAAGCAACUAUAAUUUCAGGAGGUCCUAACUCAGUGUACGUGGUUUACGCCCCACUAUACAAUCCAAUAAACUUCAGGCUGAGGUCUUCCAGUGCUGAGAAUUUAUUUGGCAAGCAAAUACUCAAUAAGGAGUUAGGUGGAACAGUGGAGAGAAAAAUAUUCGCGAUGGGCAAUUUGAGAUCCAAGUAGAAACGGAGUGGCUAUUGUUUAAAGGCUUAGAGACUCGGCAAAUGGUAUUACAUGGUUAAUGGUUAAAUGGUAUUGUGACAGCUUAGACAAGGUUGCAGAAGGGUUGCGUUACGUCGCAAAAUCUUCACAUCAUAUUAUUUCCGCUAUUGCUGAUAUUACUGAGUCCAGUUCCAUGAUUUGACUGAAAACGGACGAAAAAUGUUGCAUGCCUUCUUAUUCGAAAUCUGUGGAUUGCAAGGAGGUUUCACAUUGGAGAAACGCGAGCAGCAGUGUAACGAUUACAUCCGGCGCACGGUCGGACGUGAUAAGAUCGUGCUCAUGCUAGUAAGCGGUGGAGUCGAUUCCGCCGUUCGUGCUGCCCUUCUCCAUAAAGCACUUCUACAGGUGAUAACUCGUCGCGAGUGCAGGGCAUCUAUAUCCAUUCUUAUCUUUUUCUUUUUUUUUUAUUUUAUCUUUACGAAAAGAUACAAUAUGUUUGCUAAUUUACUUUAUUUACGUUAUUCAGCGACAGUUAACAAGCGUUUUAGUAAUUUACCUUGGGCUACUUGAAAUUAUUAUUACAAGUUUCAUUUAAGUUCAUGGUAAAAGUUGAAAUUCAAAGUGUAUGUCUAAUGGCACAACGGUAUAGCAUCGGAGCGGUACGUAGAAGAUUUAGGGUUCGAUUCCCUAAAGAGUUCAGUUACAUUCCAAUGUAAAAAUAAAUUCCAUUGGGAAAAUUCUGAUUUAUGAGUUACAAAAUCUCUAAGUAAAAUUAGAGUGCCUUAACCAAAGACUUGUAAAGCUCUAUUCUUCAACGUGGCUAUUGGUCGCAUAUACCGGAACAUUACAACUCAGAUGGAAAACGAACCCAUACUAUGAUGAUUAAUCCCAACACUGAAUUCCACUACAGCUGAAUGGGAUUCGAACCCAAGUUACAUCGUAUUCCAGUCCAUCGCUCUACCAUUGAGCUAUGAGAGAUACUACAUUGUAAUCUAAGUCUUCAACACAUUAAGGUAACUGUGCAAAAUUGUACAUAGGGGAUCAAAUAUCAAUGGGGGGA